CAUUAAUUUAUUUGCAAUUUUGCGAGUAUUUCUUGUGGUUUUAGGCAAAUGAAGGAAAUUCUUUGGCUGUUUCAUCACAGCGAGGUCAUUCUUGGGAUCGCCCACUGUAGGGUGUGAAGUGGCGGGAAAAAUAUUAUGUGGACAUGGCUCUCCCUUUUUGGUCUUCGGUCGGCGCCUUACAUCUUCACUGCUAUCGCAGAUGUGGUGCAGUGAAUGUAGACAUCUCACCAUGGUGUUGAUUUCCUCUGUCAUUAUUUACUAUAGAUGACUUUCUCACUCUGGGUCCCCCCUCCUCUCCAGUUUGUUACAACAGCUUGCAGGCGUGUAUUCAGCUGUGUUCCAAACUUGGCCUCCCCCUUCACCCAGACAAGCUGGAGGGCCUGUCUACUUGUCUCUCCUUUCUAGUUAUCGAGCUGGACUCAGUCAAGAUGCAGGCACGGGUUCCCAUUGACAAAAGAGAGCGCAUCGUCACUCUACUGGAGUCCUGGUCUGACAAGCGAUUCUGCAAGUGGCAGGAGUUAGAGUUCCUUGUUGGCCUCCUCCACCAUGCAUGCAACAUCGCCCCCCAGGGUUGAACGUUCCUCCGUUGCAUGUACUGUGUACUUUGAGAUGUGAUGAUCAUCCCAUUUGUCUAAACCAGGAAUCCUGCUCGGACCUUACCUGGUGGUGCGAACUUUUCCACAGGUGGGAUGGGCUCAGCUUCUUCCUGAUGCCAGAAUGGGCUCCCAUCCCUGAUUUUCAAGUUUCUUCUGAUGCCACCGGCACUCUGGGCUAUGGAGCCAUCUUCCAGCACCAGUGGUUCUGCGGUCCAUGGUCAGCAUCACAGCAACCCCUGUCUAUUGCGUACAGGGAGCUCUUUCCCAUUGUUGUGGCUGCAUACUUAUGGGGUCCUCAGUGGUCUUCUAGGCGGGUCGAGUUCCUGUGUGACAAUGAGUCGGUGGUGGCUGUUCUGUCUUCUGGUACCUUCCGGGACUCUAAAUUAAUGUUUUUGAUGCAUUUUUUAGCAUUGUUGGCAGUGCGCCGUUCGUUUUCCUUUAAGGCCUCAUCUGUUACCGACACUCUUUUACAUUUUCAGUUUCAAAGAUUCAGACGCCUGGCCCCUUGGGUGGGCCUUGCUGCGGCCCCAGGUCCUCUGGAUCUCCUCAAAGCCCUGCUUGUCACUUGCCCUUUCUUCAACUCACCCGGGGCCUCCGUCCGGGGCUCCCAGGGCCACGUCGUGCUCUGGGCGGCAUGCUGCCUUGGUUUCUUUGGUUUCUUGCAUGCUGAUGGGUUUGCAGCUAACUCUCUGUUUGAUCCAAGCGUUGGCCUGGGGGUUAGUGAUGUGCAGGCCAAUACCCUGCAGGUGCUUGAGGACGGAUCUUUUUCGCGUUGGCUGCUGCCUCUGCAUCGGUCAGCGCAGUAAUGUCGUCUCCCCUUUGGUAGCUCUGGGCAAUUUCUUGGCUGUGUGUGGCCCUUCCCCAGGGCCAUUGUUUUGUUUUGCUGAUGGUCGUCCCUUAACACGCCAACUGCUGUCUUUGGUAGGCUGCUCGGGUAGUUGCUCUGGCCAUAGCUUCCGGAUUAGUGCUGCCACUACAGCACCUUCCUGGGGACUGCCAGAUCACCUGAUUAAGACUUGAGGUCGCUGGUCUAGUGGCGUUUGUCAGCACUGUGUCUGCACAUCGGCUGGCUCUCUUGGCGGGCUGGUGUAUCAGCGUAGCAGGUUUGGCGUUUAUGAGUUUUCUUUUACUUGGGUUGGGUGCCUCAGGUCUGGCCCCUUGGGAGCUGUGGCUUAUGGGCCAUGAGCCCCCAUCUCUCCAGUCUGGGUCAGCCUAGAGGCCCUUUUGGCAGGGGAGGUGGGGAUUGUGGCUGGGUUGCAGGGAAGGGCAGGCUUUUGAGAUGCUCUUGCUACCUGAGUUUGGGGUGGGCAGCUCCAGCCCCCAGGUUCCUGGGCACCCAACCUCCCUGUGUGACUCGCGCAUUAAAUGAGGUUAAAUAUACUUAUUUAACUUAGUUAACGACAAGGAGCAUGUUGCUCAGUAGUUGGCGUGGCGUUGGCAUGGCAUUGGCAUUUAUUAGCGUUUUUGGUGGCAUGAUGUGGCAUUUGGUUUGUUGCUUGGGUUUGCGUUACUGUAGUAGGCCUGGUGCGGAGCAGUUUCCUGUGCCCCCGGGUCAGUGGUUUAUUGUUGCAAUUUAUCCAUGUGCCUUUACAUGUGGUUGUAGUUUUUACUGUGCGAAGUCUUCGGGGCAUCUUGAUCAGUUUUAGAGUUUCUUUAGUGUUUGCUCCCAUCCUCCUCACCCUUUGUUAUUAUUACCUUAUUUAUUAUUACUGAAUUAGUAUGUUUAUUGUUUAUUUUGUUAUUUAUUAUUAUUGUUAUUAUUGUUAUUAUUAUUAUUAUUAUUUUUAUUGUUUGUUAUUGUUAUUAUUUUUAUUAUUUCCUCUGAGCUCCUGGCUUUGUGUGACAGGUGCUUACCCUGGGGCUGGGUAUGAGGAAUUCAUAAAAAAAGGCUGACAUUUUAAAUUUUUAUAUCGUGCUUGAGUAGGAUGCAAUUUCAUUUUGAACACUGUUUUCAUAAAUCUAGACAUACUGUGUAUACAGUAAACUGGAUGCUAAUUUGUCAGCAGAAUUGAAUAAUUUUACUAAGCUGAUACUGAUAAAAACAUAUUUUUUCUUGUCUAUUCUUAUCCACUUUAGAGAUACUCAAGAAUCAAGCUUUUGCUGCAUACAUGUAAAGUUCUCAUUUAUUACUGAUGGUGUGAACUGAUAUUGGCAAAGCAGAUCAUCACAAUGUCUAAAGCUGCAACCAACGCUAGCAGCAGUUCAGAGGAUGAUGUUGCUUUUAAAGAAGGCAAACCUGAUGACCUUGAACUAGAUGAGCUGGCGGGAAAGAUUGCUGCAAAGUGGCAGGAGCUAGGACUUCACCUUGGCAUUUGUCAGGAUGUACUGGACGAAAUACAGGCUAAUCAAGAAAGAA
Orbicella faveolata is the source of this 2952-nucleotide long non-coding RNA. The record is from RefSeq and is a predicted model, not a curated record. NCBI's taxonomy places the organism in Eukaryota, Metazoa, Cnidaria, Anthozoa, Scleractinia, Merulinidae.